GCAGCAACAUUUAUUCCACAGCAAAACCACACAAAACAUUAUUCCAACAGUAAAAAUGAGCGACAUAGUCACCAACUCCCAUCUACAGUUCUACACAAUAUACAUAAGAAAUAAAAUUAAACACAAUUAUUGCAUAAAAGUUAAAAAAAAAGGAUAAGAAAAAAAAAAAAAAAAAAAAAGAGGAUGACAUGUUAUUGAAGGAAAAAGAGAAUCUGUGGGAAAGCAGAUAUUGUGAAAGGAAAAAAAAAAAAAAAACAAGUCAAGAUUUCAAGAAACAAACUCACUGUACAAUUUUUCAUUAUUUAAAAUCUGUCCCAUUAUUUAAAAUCUCAACAAAUUUUAAAUUUUCAAAAACAUCCUAUUUGAUGGUUAACAAAAAAAUUCAACAGCAAGAGUAAGAAACGAAAUAACCCAAAAAUAAAUUUAGCAAAAAACAAAAUAAAAGAAAAAGUUUGUAGACGAAUUGAACAAAAGAAAAACAACUUACCCUUUGCGUGAUUUUUGAACAGUGAAACCUUGGAGGAGAAUUUCAAGGGCGGCGAGUCACCGGCGAUUGGUGAGAGUCCGAGGACGGCGAUGGAGAAUUUGAGAAGCGGCGCUAGGGUUCAGUUUGGGAGUCGGGUAUAAUUUUUUGUAUCUGUGAAUUUGUGAUUGUGCGUUCUCUUCCUUCUCCGUUAAAAGUAAAAAAAAAAUAUAAACAGGUAUAUAUAUACUUAAUGAAACGACGUCGUUUUGUGUCGGUUCGGUUCCUCGGUUCGGUUUCCAACUUGAAAAACCGAAUACGGACCGAAUGUUUUGGUUCACAUAAAAAUGAAAACCGAGUAUGCGGUGUAUACUUCGGUUCGGUGCAAUUCGGUUCGGUUUUU
Molecule: long non-coding RNA, 866 nt
Filed under: Erythranthe guttata (spotted monkey flower)
Lineage: Eukaryota; Viridiplantae; Streptophyta; Magnoliopsida; Lamiales; Phrymaceae
Description: long non-coding RNA (EGUT_LNC003726)
Source: RNAcentral